Molecule: long non-coding RNA, 1150 nt
Organism: Choloepus didactylus (southern two-toed sloth)
Lineage: Eukaryota; Metazoa; Chordata; Mammalia; Pilosa; Megalonychidae
Exons: 4
Source: RefSeq, a predicted model, not a curated record
UGUCCUAGUUGUUUCAUCCCUUUCUUCCUCCGUGUGCGACGCUGUUGUAAGGAGUGAGAAAUGGAAGCGCCGUCUUUUCUGUGGCGGUUACCCCCUGAGCCAAGGGAAUGCGGCAGGCCCCGGCCCCUUGCGCCAUCUUUGCUCUACCGCCACCUGCAGGGCUCUGAAUCCUGCAGGCGAGUCCCAGCGCCACGAGGGGGCUUUGGCUUUAAGAUGUUGGUCGGUGUGUUGUCCUUGAAUAAAGGUGAGUGUUACCUGUGAGCCUUUUGAGUGUCUCAGACCAUGAAGCAUUAUGGCAUCUGCCCGUAUUUUCUAAUGAACACGUGCAGCAAUGCAGAAGUUUUACCGAUUGUUUUUCUCCACCACUUGUUUUCGUUUAUCUUGAAGUUAUUAUAUUAAUGUUUUGUAAUUAUUCAUAUUUUUGGUUAAGCUCUCAUUCCCUCCCAAUAGUACUAUUCUCUGCAGUUCUGUGUUUCCUACUCUCCCAAAUCUCCCAUCCUUGAACUUACUUGCUAGAUCUUUACAUGUCUUGUGGCCAAUUUCUUUGGUUUCUCUUGAUCCAAGUCUUCCGUCCCUGAAUUGGGAAUGAUGAUUUCUCAGACUAGAGUCUCUGAUGCUGGUACUGAUGUCAAUAACAAAUUCUGACUCAUUUGGGGAAAAGGAUACUUGGGUCUUUGACAAGGACCUAUAGGGGAGCCUUCAGUUUUUCUCUGCAUGUCCAUCUUCUCAUUGGUUAUCUUGUUUUUCUAGGGUGAGAGUUCUGGAUGCCCAGGCAGGGGCAGUGUCUCUUCCUGGAGACUGCAUUAGUUUGAUGCCUGAAGGCCUAAGGUUUGGGAUCUCUACCUCCUUGGAGAAGUGAUGUCGGGAUGGCUGGGAAACCUUGUGGUGAUGGUUCCUUCUACCUAUCUGCAAGAAGAGGAAAGCUACACGUCUUUGGCUGCUGCGGAUUUUGCUGACACAAGGAAUAUCCUAUCUAGUGUUUGGCUGAUCCUAGGAACUUGACUGUAUUUAUCUGUAUAAGCAACGUGAGAACUUGACUGUAAAAACUACCUCGGAAUUUUUGGAUACAAACUUAAAUUUUUAUUAUAUUUGUUUUAUACACAUGUCCGGUUUUACCAAACAGAUUCUAAUAAAAAUGUUUUAAUGCAAA